This 40932-nucleotide long non-coding RNA is filed under the name Prunus persica (peach). RNAcentral's name for it is "long non-coding RNA (PPER_LNC004588)". The record is from RNAcentral. Lineage: Eukaryota; Viridiplantae; Streptophyta; Magnoliopsida; Rosales; Rosaceae.
AGCACGGCAGAAGAGACUGGUCGCCUAGACGGUGAGACCAGUUGCUUUGAAACAGAUUCAAAACUUGCGACUGGUCACUUUCUGGUGAUUUUCCAAAGUCACACUCUACUUCGAAACCACCGGUCACAAAUAGCCAGCGACCGGUCGCUUUUCCCGAAGCCUUUGCCCUCUAGGUGAGCCAAUUUUUUCCAACACAGACAAAUACAAAGACCAGAGAAAACACAGGUAGAAGAUGACCCAACCAACCGGUGGUGGCUUCGUCAAAUUCCUCACUAGUUCGAAACUAAUGAUGGGGUGGACAAGGUAACCCAUCCUUAUUAAGAAUGGGACCUGAAGACAGUAUCCAAUUUUGAACGGGUUAGAGGGACUUUCAUGAUGAUUUCAAAUACCUCUUUACACUAGCCAAUUUUGAAUCAUGGUAUAUAUACAAACAAAAAAAAAAACAAAACAAAAGGAGAGAAAAACAUUAAAUUAAACCUGAAGACAGUCCAAUGAUUCAAAUGAGAAUUGUAAAGUUGGGGUGCCGGCGUAGAAAACACAAGUGUAUAAAACACUUAAGUAUUCAAUAGUUACAUGUCUAGAGCUAAAUGUAUUUCUAAUUUAGUCAUGCCUAAUUUGUUUUAGAGGGAAUUUUAACUUAAAUUAUAAUGUAACAUCCUUACCCAAAAAUUUAAUUAUUAGUUAAUUCUUUUAAUUUAAAUUAUGAAAUUCCAAUUUUUCCCCCGAGAGUAGGAGUAAUUUGGUCACUUUUUAAUUGGGAAGGAUUUCGGAAAAAUGAUUGGCACUAGUGCGUGGAUCGUGCCGAGAUGAGUUCGUAAACACGUAGUUGGCUCAAAUCGGAGUUGUAACGAAGAAGUUACGAUCAAAAGAAACAUAGUGGCAAAACUGUAAUUUUUUCGAAGACGUAGUUGUCUCUCGUGUUUGCAAAUAGACCCCCCCUUAACAACCGAUCGGAUUUUUGCAGCACUGCCGCUACGUUGGGCCAUUGUUGGCCACGGGACCAGAACCAAAGUGAGCAGCUCCGCUCCCUUUCUAGCCCCACCCCUUCUCUGCCGCAAUCCGCCGCCCAGGUCGCCGAAAAACGAGAAAUAUGGCCGGUUUUUACAUGAGUUUUCCAUCGCUCGUUUCAGAUGUUUCUGGCCACCAAACUUUACGAUCUAAGUAUGCUUUUUCAUCCUCUCACUGUGUUGUAGUUGCUGGUUGGGUCAUUUAGGAUCGAUUUCUGCGUUUUGGUUGUUGAUUUAGUGAUUAAAGUUUUGGCCGGUUUUGGCUCGUGAUUCCGGCCAUCUCCAGCCACUUUUUGUUGUUGGUCCAAGAACAAAAGUUUCUCCACUCAGUGUCCUGAUCAUGUACGUAUAAGUCUUAGCAGACGGUUUGAAGAUUUUUCGAUCACCGGAAUUGCUUUGGACAUAGCGUGUGGGCACUGCUUUGGUGUCCCUCUUGUUUCUAAAAUAAUCACCAUCGUCCUGAACACGACAGUAUACUCGGAUUUGAAUUUGGUUAUCCUUUGAAUGUCGAUCGGAUAUCGCAUAUUAGGUAUUAUCUGAGUUCGAUAUGUUCGGACCGUUGGAUCGACUCCAAUUUACUAUAUGUUAAUCUAGGCAUCCCUAAGAUCGUGCAGGAAUUCGCGGAUCGUGAAUCGAAGCCCCAAAUGUUCCGAUUCAAUGACUUAAAGUUUGCGUUUAAUGAUAACUGUCCGAUCGUGCGAUCACGAGCAAUCCGACUGUUCGAUCCGGAUCAAACUUGCAGGAUGUGUAUCCUAAACCUUGUGGAACCCAUAGGAACUUUCGGAUUGUAAAUCGGAGGUCGUUGGCCUUGUGGGCCCAGUUGACCCAAUUUAGAAAGUUUGACCGCCCGGUUGAUCGAGUGUCUUCUGAGGCUAUCCCAUUAUAUGAAAUACGUGGUUGGAUCUUAGGAACAUCUAGUUCCUCGUGCCUAUACUUGAAACCCGGGAAACUAGGAUUUUAAUUUAAAGUUCCCAUCCGAAACAUUUUACAUUAUUCUCUUACUAGUAUUUUGAAAUAGGUACUCCGACCACGCGUACGCAGUAGGUGAGACCCUCUUAGGGUCAGGCAGUGUGAGACUAUUUGUGAGUGGACUUUGUUUUUCAAAUGAUAUGCAUUAUUUUACGAUGGAAGGAAAGUGGGUUAUAGUAUGUCAAUUGAAGUGCUAUAAGCACUGCCCCAUGAACCUCCCUGAAUAAAAAAAUUAUGGAAUGGAAUUGGAAUGUGAGAUACUUAGAUAUAUUGGAACCCGGGCACACUUGACGGGAUGUUUCGUAGACCAUUAGCGGGGUUAGUCUGCACGCAUAGGACUUGUCACAAGCAUACGAGUAUUGAGGAUUAUGUUGUACGUGUUGGUGAGCUUAGUCCCAGUUGGACGGCUCGUUCCCUAGCCACAUGGUCAAUUGAGAAUUCUUCCAUGUGGACUAGUUAAACAAUCCCCUGGUUGGAUUGUUUCCCUGGUACAAACUAGGUGGUGUCUUAUAUAUAUAUAUAACUAUUCGUUUCAUUAUUAAUAUCAGUGAGGAUACUUCCUCGCUCGUCGUGCCCACGCCAUGCCAACGGGCACUCGUCUUGAGAGAAUGGUUCAGGUAUAUUAUGAAAAGGUUUGAUUGGGUUGAGAAAUAAAGUACCUUUAUGGGGUUUCAUAUUUCAUUAUGAUUUUUAUCAAACUUUAUAUAUAUAUAUAUCCAUUAUGGUUUGAAUGCAUAUGGUUUUCGGCAUCGUUUUUUAAAUAGUGGGGUUACUAUACAUUGUUUUCAACUAACGAAAACUUUGUUUUUGUCCACUCACACUUUUCUGUUUUGCGCCCCCCAGGCAGUAAUUGAGCUGAGUUGAACGGCAGAGCCGAGCUGGAACUUCCGAGCCCCGACUUCCCUAUAGGGCAAUCUUUAUUCAUCUUUACGUAUGUUGAACUUCAUUUCGUUCGUAAACCGAAUUGUAUUAGAUAUGCUCUGUUAUCGCCCGUGUUAGGAUUUGAUUGUAAGGCCAGAGGCCUUUGUUGUAAACUGCUUGAAUGUAUCUGGUGCAUGCUGCCUGUUAGGAUAUAUGUAUAAAUGUGUUUUUAAUAGGUUGAGAAAUUUGGGAAAUGUCCAUUUUUCAAGAGAGACUCUGCCGAAUUUUCGGUAGAAAGUCUCGUGUCUUAGUAAGUCCGGAAAUAUUAUGGAAUUCGUCCCUGAUUCCGAAGAAUUCGGGGUGGGUCUUUUGUUAGUACUAGUUCUAUAUGUUAUAUAUAAUAUAAUAGUGGAGAGAUAAAAAAAAAGAAAAAAGAAAAAAUGGGAGAGGGAAGGGCACUACUACAAAAAGUGAAAAAGACGACCAGAAAACAACGACGGUCUAAGUGAAAACCGUCGUGGUUUUUAAAAAGACGACGGUUCUAAAAACACCGUCGUGUAAUACCACCUUAGACAACUAAAAAUGGAGAUUCAAAUGGCUGUUCAAAAACAACGACGUACCUAAUUAAAAAACCGACGUCUAUUUGAAACAGAUUUCCGCAGUGUAAAAUCAAAGCCAACAAAUAACGGCAGAAGUUAUGAAUCGACCGACGUAGAAAGUGAAGACGACGAUUUCAAUAAAAGCCGCCGUUUUUACUCAUAAAAUAACACGACGAGGUUUUCGUAUAAGACGCCGUAUAAUUACAAACAAAUCCACGGCUUUAAAAUACAAAAUAUCGCCGUAUUAAAUUAAUUUACAACGACGGAAAAUAUAAAUAUAUCGACGUCAUUAUCGUAUAGUUCUACGACGUUAUCUUUAAAUCGUACUAUAAAAUUUAACGUCGUAUUUAUUCAUUUUAUACGUCGUACCUUUAAUUUAAACCGUCGUCUUAAUAAGAAUUUUUGUUAACAAUUUUUUCCUUUAUUUUCUUAUCCUACGUCGGUAGAUCUACUUAAUGACAAGAAUUGAAAUCUGUCAUCCAAAAAAGAAACUUUACAUAUUCCAGAACAUUAAUUUCCUUCAUUUUAAAUUUCCUCCGGAAAAAAACUCUAUUUAUAACGCACUGUAAUUGAAAAAUAAACUGAAAGGUCACGGGAAAAAAAUUUCUAUUCAUAAUUUAAAAAUUCAAAUCCACGUCGGUUAUAUUAAACCUAACGACGUUAAAUGAAAAGAUUCCACAUCGCAAAACAAAUAUUGCGUCGUGUUAGUUUAGGGUUUCUUUAACAGUUUCAGUUUCUUUAACAGUUUGGUCCUUUAUCUUUCUGCAGGACUUGUAUAGUUCAAAGCAUUGACUUGUAUAGUUCAAAGUAUAGUUCAAAGCACUGAUUCGAUUGCUCAUGCUUUAUCGCAUUCUGAAGCCAUUUCUAUUCUUUAUCGCAUUCUUGAAACCCAUCAUCUUCUUCUUCUGAAGCUCUACGGAUAAAGGAAGAGGCUAUCACAAAUCUGACGGAUCUUCUUAGCCAAGAAAAUCAAGCAGAGGAUCAGGCACAUCUGAUCUUCAGAUUUCCCUGAGAAGCGAACUUUCCUUCGACAGCGAGUGGAGGCCAGGCUUGCAUCUCUUUUGAUGGAAAGCAAGGAGUAUUCAGAAGCACUAAGUGUCCUAUCAGGCUUGAUCAAGGAAGUGAGAAGGCUAGUUGACAAGCUUCUUCUUGUGGACAUAGAUUUGAUGCGAGUAAGCUCAAUUUCUCUUUGAGAAAGACAUCCAAAUUAUUGUCUUUGAGAUGUGAGAGACAGUGUCUCUGAGAGAGGAAGAACUUGGAACCCUACAUAUAAACCGAAAAUGAAUGAAAGCGACAAAUUUAUAGAAUAAAUUUUUAAAACCAACGGCGGUCCUUACAAAAAAACCGCCGUUUAAAUUGUAAAAUCAACGUCGGUAUGACCGACGUAUAUUACAGAAAUCCACGUCGGUACAUUAAUAAAACCGACGUGUUAAAUGAUCUACCAUGACUCGAGUUAUUACUUAUGUACUUUAAUUUUUGAGUUUACUACGACGGUACCUACAACACUACUGUCGUACUUAUUUACCACGUCCGUAGUUAAAUGUACCGUCGUAUUUUGUAAUUUAUACGUCGUAGUUAUAUGUAACCGCCGUAUUAUUUUUUUGAAAUGGUUUUAUAUGUAAGCAACUUUUCGUCUACCUGACUUACACAUGCACUGUUUCCAAACCCGAUUAAAAUUUCAAUCUCCCAAAGAAAACUUUUAGACUUUUUUCCUUGUCAGAGCACUGUCAGAGUAUCUCAUCGUCUUCCUCUCGUCUUCUUCGUCGUCUCUGAACUUAAACAUCGAUCGUCUUCCUCUUGCUUUCAUUGCACGCAAAAGGUAAGCUUUCAUUUUCACUAUUUUGGUUGCUGUUUUGCAUGCUCAUACUUUUUUGUUUGAAAAAUCUUUUUACCUUUUUUCUGGCCAAAAUCAUUUUACUUCUUUCCAAGUUCGAUAAAAUAUACAGACAAAGAGGGAAAGUUUCCAACUUUGAAGUCAACUACCUCAACUAAAUAAGACGACGGUAGCUUCUUAUUUACGUGGUUAAAUAUGUAGACCACGACGGUUCGUCAGUCGUUCUAGCGUCGUCUGAAAAUUGACAAAGUUGUUUUUAAAAUUAUAGUCUUUUUUUUAUUUGCUUGUUUAUUUGCAGGUUUGAUUUCUCUAAACAAUGGUUUUUGUUUUUCCCUAAUUUGAUAAAAUAUAAAGAAAAAGAAAUUAGGGUUGGUAUCUAAUAUAGAUGGCAGUAUCUUAUUGUUUUACGUCGUGUGAAUGUUAAUACCACGACGUCAUAUUAAAAUACCGUCGUCUAUACAAGAUUCAAAAACUUUCUUUCUUGGCCUUGUAUUUUAUCAAAUUAGAAAACAAAAACCAUGGUUCAGAAAAAUCAAAUCUGCAAUCAAACAUUCACAGAGAAAGAAAGAAGGGUUUUGGAUCCCUAUAUAGACGACGGUAUAUUACUACUGACGUCGUGUGAACAUCAAUACCACGACGUUAUAUAAAUAUUCCGUCGUUUAUAGUUAAUUAUCACGUCGUUUAUAGUUAAUUAUUUCGUCGUUGUUUAAUUACUUUGGUUUAAACAUUUAUUACGUCUGAUAUUAUUUCAUUGCGUCGUUUAAAAUCAUAUCAUAUGUCGUAUUUUAUUAAUAACCGUCGUUUGUGUUCUUAAUCUUUUCUUGAAAUAUUUUCACUUGCAGUUUUGUCUGUAAAAAUGGUUUCUCACCAAGACCAAAGUAAGGAUUCUGGCUCCAAGAAAAAUGGAGGUAAUGAGCUUGGAAUGGUACCUCCUCAAGAGAAGUCUUCGAAGAUAAUGAAGUCUUCGAAGAAGAUGAAGUUUGCUUCAUGAUCUGCUGAUACAGAACCAACCAGCGCGACAACAAUCUCUGAUGAUUCAAAGGCUGGUCGAGGUAUGAGCACAAUGCCUCGUGUUGUGAAGAGAAAACUUCAGAAACUGAGGGGAAUGCUCCGAUGGGAGAUGCCCCGAGAUCCGGUUANNNNNNNNNNNNNNNNNNNNNNNNNNNNNNNNNNNNNNNNNNNNNNNNNNNNNNNNNNNNNNNNNNNNNNNNNNNNNNNNNNNNNNNNNNNNNNNNNNNNNNNNNNNNNNNNNNNNNNNNNNNNNNNNNNNNNNNNNNNNNNNNNNNNNNNNNNNNNNNNNNNNNNNNNNNNNNNNNNNNNNNNNNNNNNNNNNNNNNNNNNNNNNNNNNNNNNNNNNNNNNNNNNNNNNNNNNNNNNNNNNNNNNNNNNNNNNNNNNNNNNNNNNNNNNNNNNNNNNNNNNNNNNNNNNNNNNNNNNNNNNNNNNNNNNNNNNNNNNNNNNNNNNNNNNNNNNNNNNNNNNNNNNNNNNNNNNNNNNNNNNNNNNNNNNNNNNNNNNNNNNNNNNNNNNNNNNNNNNNNNNNNNNNNNNNNNNNNNNNNNNNNNNNNNNNNNNNNNNNNNNNNNNNNNNNNNNNNNNNNNNNNNNNNNNNNNNNNNNNNNNNNNNNNNNNNNNNNNNNNNNNNNNNNNNNNNNNNNNNNNNNNNNNNNNNNNNNNNNNNNNNNNNNNNNNNNNNNNNNNNNNNNNNNNNNNNNNNNNNNNNNNNNNNNNNNNNNNNNNNNNNNNNNNNNNNNNNNNNNNNNNNNNNNNNNNNNNNNNNNNNNNNNNNNNNNNNNNNNNNNNNNNNNNNNNNNNNNNNNNNNNNNNNNNNNNNNNNNNNNNNNNNNNNNNNNNNNNNNNNNNNNNNNNNNNNNNNNNNNNNNNNNNNNNNNNNNNNNNNNNNNNNNNNNNNNNNNNNNNNNNNNNNNNNNNNNNNNNNNNNNNNNNNNNNNNNNNNNNNNNNNNNNNNNNNNNNNNNNNNNNNNNNNNNNNNNNNNNNNNNNNNNNNNNNNNNNNNNNNNNNNNNNNNNNNNNNNNNNNNNNNNNNNNNNNNNNNNNNNNNNNNNNNNNNNNNNNNNNNNNNNNNNNNNNNNNNNNNNNNNNNNNNNNNNNNNNNNNNNNNNNNNNNNNNNNNNNNNNNNNNNNNNNNNNNNNNNNNNNNNNNNNNNNNNNNNNNNNNNNNNNNNNNNNNNNNNNNNNNNNNNNNNNNNNNNNNNNNNNNNNNNNNNNNNNNNNNNNNNNNNNNNNNNNNNNNNNNNNNNNNNNNNNNNNNNNNNNNNNNNNNNNNNNNNNNNNNNNNNNNNNNNNNNNNNNNNNNNNNNNNNNNNNNNNNNNNNNNNNNNNNNNNNNNNNNNNNNNNNNUGCAUCGUCAGUCAUUGCUGUAUAAUAAUGAGGUUUGUCAUCUAAAAUAAUACGUCGUUGGUUUAUUAUGCGUCGUCUAACUAACUAAACCACGUCGUUAGUAUGUACCGUCGUGAUAAAUAUAUUAUAACGUCGUUGUCUAUUUCAGUACGUCGUGUGAAAUUUUAUAAUACGUCGUUUUGUUAUACAUAACCGUCGUGUGUUUUUUUGUAUAUAUGAGGUUUGUCAUUCUAAAAUAAUACGUCGUUGGUUUAUUUAUUGCGUCGUCUUAACUAACUAACCACGUCGUUAGUAUGUACCGUCGUGAUAAAUAUAUUAUAACGUCGUUGUCUAUUUCAGUACGUCGUGUGAAACCUUAUAAUACGUCGUUUUGUUAUACAUAACCGUCGUGUGUUUUUUUUGCGCUGACUUGUUUAUAUUAUUUUAUAUAUUUAGGUACUUACACGAUGUUUUGAAACAAUCAAAUAUGUGCACAAUGGUUGGCUUUAUCGACCCUGCUACAGUUAGUGCCAGCUCUGGCACAAUAGCUGACAGAUCACGCCUACUAGCAGCUCGACUUCAGAGGACUGACGGUGAACAGAUUUUCCUGAUGCCUUACAAUCCAGGGUUAGUCUCCUUAACAAGAUUUUGUUUUUAUGAUUUUCAAUAAAUGACAGCGUAUAAACUAACCACGUCGGUGUUUUAUUUUAUUGAGUCGUUUGAAACUACUAACCACGUCGGUAGUUAUUUAUCGUCGUGAUAAAUAUAUAAUGUCGUCGAUUGCUACUUUAUUUCGUCGUGUGAAAUAUUAUAAUACGUCGUUUUUGUAAAUAACCGUCGUUUUUAUAUUAAUUUUAUGCAGCCGUCAUUGGAUCUUGCUGAUUGUAAGAGCAAAGAGAGAAACCGUCUAUUUUCUGGAUCCUCUGCCAGGAAAUCGUGUGGUCGAUGAAGAGGCCAAAAACAUCGUGAACAGUGCUAUAAAAAUUUAUAAUUCUCACAUAGCCAGACCAGGCCGUAAGGCAGUAAUUUGGAAAACUCUGUCAGGCACACCAAAGCAACCCAGCAAUGUCGAAUGCGGGUAUUAUGUGAUGCGCUUAAUGAGGGACAUCAUCAUGGAUCCUUCCUUGGGGUUUGAGAAGAAGGUAAGAAGAAAUUACCUUCUUACAUUUUACGUCGUUUUUUGUAUUAUCAACGACGGUCAUGUAAAAUUACCGUCGUUGAAUAGAUAUACUACGUCGGUUAUGGUCGUCUGUGAUUGAAUUUCCUUUUAUUUAUAAACCCUAAUAGUCAUUGUUUAUGCAGUAUGCCAAGGGAAAACAGGAAGAGCCAUACCCCCAAGAAGCAAUUGAUGAAGUCCGGAAUGAAUGGGCAGAGUUUGUUUGCCUUCACCUGGAAUAGGGGAAUUAUUGAACACUUGAUAUUUAUGUAUAAUGUACAAAUUUUGUGUAUAAUAUAUAAUGUAAAAAUUUGUUGAGGUUUUCUUAAAUUAAAAAAAAAACAAACAUACAAAUUGCGUAACCGACGUGUAAUACUUUUCCAACGACGUAAUAAAGUCAAAAGCCGUCGUUUUUUGUUGUUUCGUUUUAAACAAAUCCGACGUAAAAGGAUAUUUAGACGACGUUCUUUGAACAAUUGAGUCGUUUAUGGUUUACAACGUCUUCAAUUUCUUAAGGGUUCAGGGUAGUACUUUGUAACGACAGCGGUUAAGUCGUGGAAUAUAUAUUUUACGUCGGAUAGUUAAAUAUCCGCCAUGGUUUCUCAUUUAAACGACGUCAUUUUAACAACUUAGUCGUCUAUUACAAUUUACAACGUCUACAAUUUAUUAACACCGACGUGGUUUGUUGUUGUGAUAAGAAUAUUUUAUUAUUUUUAUAUCAAAAUAUUCAAAAUAAAUUUAAAAUAAAUCAGAAAAAUGCAAAGUCAACUCCUAUGAAGUCAUUGAUAUAUUUUCUUCCCCCUAAACCUUGAAAAAAUUUAUUUUGAAUAACAAAAAUUUAAAAUGACCAUCCAAAACAAAAUUGUUUUGAUGAGUCAUAAAAUCACUUCUAGUUUUAUGGUUUAGGGUUUAGAGUCUAGGGUUUAGAGAUUAGGGUUGUUAUUUAUUGGGGUUUAUUUUUAAAGUAUAAUUUUUGGGUAGUCUAGGGUAUAUAUUAGGCUGUAAAACCAUAAACCCUUUUAUAAACUUAAUUUUUAAAAUUAUAUAAUUUAGUUUUAAAGGUUUAGGGUAUUAAUUAUUAACGACGGUGGUUGAGUCGUGGAAUACAUAUUUUACGUCGUGCAGUAAAAUAUCCGACAUGGUUUCUACUUUAAACGACGUCAUUUUAAUAUGUAAGUCGUCUAUUACAAUUUACAACGUCUACAAUUUAUUAACACCGACGUGGUUUGUUGUUGUGAUAAGAAUAUUUUAUUAUUUUUAUAUCAAAAUAUUCAAAAUAAAUUUAAAAUAAAUCAGAAAAAUGCAAAGUCAACUCCUAUGAAGUCAUUGAUAUAUUUUCUUCCCCCUAAACCUUGAAAAAAUUCAUUUUGAAUAACAAAAAUUUAAAAUGACCAUCCAAAACAAAAUUGUUUUGAUGAGUCAUAAAAUCACUUCUAGUUUUAUGGUUUAGGGUUUAGAGUCUAGGGUUUAGAGAUUAGGGUUGUUAUUUGUUGGGGUUUAUUUUUAAAGUAUAAUUUUUGGGUAGUCUAGGGUAUAUGUUAGGCUUUAAAACCAUAAAACCUUUUAUAAACUUAAUUUUUUAAAUUGUAUAAUUUAGUUUUAUGGGUUUAGGGUAUUAAUUUUUAACGACGGUGGUUGCGUCGUGGAAUACAUAUUUUACGUCGUACAGAAAAACAUACGACAUGGUUUACGCUUUAAACGACGUCAUUUUAAUAUGUAAGUCGGUUUAUAUAAUUUACAACGUCUUUAAUUUCUUAACACCGACGUAGUUUUUCAGUCGUCGUUAUAUAAAAAAUUCAAAAUAAAUUUAAAAUUAAUCCGAAAAAUGAAGCUUCAAAAUGAACGGCCUUACGUUCUUAAUUCGAAAAAUGAAGUUUCCGUCGUGGAAUAUUAAAUUUACGUCGGUACUUGUAGAACUUUCGCCUUGAUUUUUCUUUCGACGUUUUAAAACGCGCGAGCUCUAAAAAUUUUCGCGCGACCUAAAGUUUUUUUAGAUUUGGCUCUUAUUCUUAUACUUCGAACCCUGAAACCUAAAAUUUUCAGAUUUCGCGCGACAUAACAUUUCGCUCUCUCACUUCUGCUCUAAUUAAAAGUUGCACUCUCUAGGCUCCGUCGAAUCUGUGAGCUCGUCCAACCUGUAAGUACAAACCCUAUCUUCCCCUUGUAAAUUCAUUGAAUGAUAUUAGGUUGUUUUGUUAAAGGGUUUUAGGUAUAUGCUUUGCGAUCUGUUAAUAAUGUGCUUAUAGGUAUGGGUUCAUGGAUUUUCUGUUUAAUGGGUUCAUGGAUUUUCUGUUUAAUGGGUUCAUGGAUUACAUUAUCUGUUAUGUUGAAUUGGGAAUGGAUUUAAUUUUGUCGGAUCUUUUAAUCACCCUAUGUUAUGUUGAAUUGGGAAUGGAUUUAUUGUUUUCAUGCUUGGUUUCAUGUAUAUGUUGGUUUCUUGCUUGGUUUCAUAUAUAUGUUGUGUUCUUAAUGGGUUUUGGGUUCUUGAAAAUAAACUGAGACACGACGCCUUUUUAGGCAUACGACGACGAUUACACGACGGUUUCUUUAACUACCGUCGUUGUAUUACUUAUACACGACGGUUUUUUCAUAAACCGUCGUUUGUAUUACUUAUAUUAGACGACGUCUGUUGGAAAUCCGUCGUCUAUAUAUGCCAAAUACGUCUAUUUUUGUUUAAAACCCGUCGUCUCUGUUGUGUAUUACUUGCUAUUAGAUCUUUGUAUAAUCUGCUAUAGUGAUGGUCAUUGCCUGUAUUUUCACUUUAUUAUAGAUAAUAGGUUAUAGUGUCGGAGAUGGAUAAGUCAUGGAUGUACUCGGAUAGAAGAUCGAAGGCAUAUGAGUUUGGGGUGGAAGCAUUUUUGAACUUUGCUGUAGAAAAUCUUCUAACUACAACACAUAUCCGUUGUCCAUGUGUUAAAUGUGUUAAUUUGAAGUUGUUUGGGGUUGGAAUUAUAAGGGAUCACUUAUACUUUAAUGGAAUUGACCAAAGCUAUAAGAAUUGGACAUUUCACGGAGAACCUUGGGAAGCAACUACUAAUGCUAGUAGAAAUGUUGAAGAAGAUGAUGGCCAUAGUAGGUACAGUUUUGUGUCUGAAGAAAUUGAUAUGGAUGAUAAUGAUUUUGGUGAUUUUGGUUCCGAUCCGUAUGAGUUUGCCAAUGUGAUUGGAGAUGGAGAUCAACCAGUGUACCCUGGUUGUAGAAAGUACACGAAGUUAUCGGCAUUAGUGAAGUUGUAUAAUUUGAAGGCAAAACAUGGGAUGAGUGAUGUCUGUUUUACAGAAUUAUUGAUACUUCAAGGCGAUUUGCUUCCAGAAGGAAAUACAAUACCAACCUCUAUGUAUGAGGCUAAAAAGACUUUGUGUGCAUUGGGGCUGAGUUAUGAGAAAAUGCACGCAUGCCCCAAUGAUUGCAUCUUGUAUAGGAAGGAGUAUGAGGAUUCAACUAAUUGUCCUACUUGUGGUAUCUCAAGGUGGAAGGAAGGCAAAGAUUCAAUCUUGAAAGAGGGUGUGCCAGCGAAGGUGGUGUGGUAUUUUCCUCCAAUUCCAAGGUUUAAAAGGAUGUUUCAAUCACAUGAGACAGCUAAGAGUUUGACUUGGCAUGCUGCUAGAAAAUCAAUUGACGGUCAGAUGUCUCAUCCGGCGGAUUCCCCGUCUUGGAAACUUCUUGAUGAUAAAUGGCCUGAGUUUGGUAAUGAGCCGAGAAACUUGAGAUUGGCUCUUUCAUCUGAUGGAUUCAAUCCCCACAGUUCUCUAAGUAGCAGAUAUAGUUGUUGGCCGGUUAUCUUAGUUACAUAUAAUCUCCCUCCAUGGCUGUGCAUGAAACGAAAGUUCAUGAUGUUAACCUUAUUGAUUUCCGGUCCUAAACAACCCGGAAAUGAUAUAGACGUCUACUUGGAGCCUUUGAUUGAUGAUUUAAAAUCUUUAUGGGAUGGGAUUAGAGGAGUGUAUGAUGCACAUAAUGGAGAAUACUUUACACUCAGAGCUGCAUUAAUGUGGACAAUUAAUGAUUUCCCCGCCUAUGGAAACUUAUCUGGUUGUGUUGUUAAAGGAUAUAAAGCUUGUCCAAUAUGCGGCGAUGAUACACCUAGUCACAGGUUGAAAAAUGGCCACAAAAUUUGUUACAUUGGGCAUAGAAAAUGGUUACCAAUCAAUCAUCCAUAUAGGAGGCAACGUGCAGCUUUUAAUGGGAAACCUGAAUAUGGCAUACCUCCCGAGCCAUUAACCGGAGAAGAAGUGCUGCAUAUGGUUGAAAAUGGUGACAGAGUUUGUUGGAAGAAGAAAUCAAUAUUCUUUGAUCUCGAGUAUUGGAAAUACCUUCCUGUGAGGCAUGCCCUAGAUGUUAUGCACAUUGAGAAGAAUGUUUGCGAUAGUAUCAUUGGUACAUUGCUGGAGAUCCCUGGAAAAAAUAAAGAUGGGGUUGCUGCUCGAUUAGAUUUAUUGAACAUGGAGGUCAAAACUGAUUUGCAACCCGGGUAUGGAGAAAGACGUACUCGUUUGCCUCCUGGGCCUUGGAAUUUGUCAAGAGCAGAGAAGAGAGAGGUUUGCAAUUCUUUCUAUGGUAUGAAGGUCCCUGAAGGUUAUUCUUCAAAUAUUAAAAAUCUUGUAUCUUUACAAGAUUCAAGACUUCUUGGCCUUAAAUCACAUGAUUGUCAUACCUUAAUGCAACAAUUGCUCCCUGUGGCAAUUCGUUCUGUUUUGGAGAAGCCUGCAAGGUAUGCAAUAACUCGUUUGUGCUUCUUCUUCAAUGCUAUAUGUGCAAAGACUGUUGAUGUUUCCAAGCUAGAUAAGUUGGAAGAAGAUGUAGUAGUUACUCUGUGUUUGCUUGAGAAGUACUUUCCCCCUUCAUUCUUUGAUAUCAUGGUUCAUCUAGUAGUACAUCUUGUCAGAGAAGUUCGUCUAUGUGGGCCAGUAUAUUUUAGGUGGAUGUAUCCGUUUGAAAGAUAUAUGAAAGUGCUGAAGGGGUAUGUUCAGAAUCGUACUCGUCCCAAAGGUUGCAUUGCUGAGCGGUAUAUAGCUGAAGAAGCGAUAGAGUUUUGUACUCAGCAUUUAUCUGAUGUUAGUACAGUUGGAGUGCCUUCAAGCCAAAAGAUGGGACUUUCAAAGCCAUUAUCAGGUUGCACAGUGAGCGUAGUUGAUCAGGACCUGUUGAAUCAAGCACAUCUAUAUGUCUUGGAGAAUACGGAGGAAGUCUUACCUUAUAUCGAGUACGUAUGAGUUUUAUUCUUUACGUUUCCAUUUUAAAUUAUUUCUUAUGUUUAUCUUCUAUAUUUGGGACCGUAAUGCUUGAAUUUUUCGUGUCAUGUAGGCAACAUAUGAUCCACAUCAAGACUGCUUAUCCAAAAUUUAGAAAGAGAACAAAGUGGCUGCAGGAUAAGCACAAUAGCACUUUCAUUCAAUGGCUACGCUUCAAGGUAUAUGUUGUUGAAUAACAUAUUUCUCUUUUAAUUUUCUUCUUAUUUAUAUGUUAGAUUGAAUUAAGACAUGAUUAAUUUGCAGGUUCAAAGUGAACUUGAGGAAGACAAUCAUGGCGUAUCAGAAAAUUUAAGGUGGCUAGCAGCUGGUCCAAACAUGUCAGUGCCAUUAUAUAGGAGCUAUCUUAUUAAAGGUAUUAAAUUCAAUAUCAAGGCACAAGAUGAUGUGCGGACAACUCAAAAUAGUGGAGUUUAUUUACUUGCACAUACCAUGCAAGUUGCUAGUGCCAAGGAUAAAAACCCAAUUCUCUCAAAUAUGGGUUUCUAUGGUGUCAUUCAAGAAAUUUGGGACCUUGACUACCAAAAGUUUACAAUCCCAGUCUUUAGGUGUGAUUGGAUAGAUAGUUCUGGUCUUGUAGUCGACGAACUUGGAUUUACCCUUGUAGAUUUGAGUAAAAUUGGACAUAGGAAUGACCAAUUUGUUUUGGCUUCUCAAGUCAAACAAAUAUUUUUUGUUGACGACCCAAUGCAUCGUGGUUGGUCGGUAGUGUUAUCAAUGCCUAAUAGAGAAUAUAAUGAUGUUAUUGGUGAUGAAGUCUUAGGUGAUGUGAUAAUUGAGUGUGAGCCAUUUACUAGAGGGAUGCCAAAUGUUGACACAUUUGAUGAACUGGUGGGUGAGUUAGGCGGUCAAAAUAUUCGAGAUGGGUGUGAAGAUAUAUGGAUUGAAUGAUGCUUAUGUAAUUGGCAGUGUAUGACAUUAAUUUUGUAAUAUAUUGUAAUGUGAUUUCUUCACUUUCUACGUUCAAAUAAAACACGACGUUAUUGUGAACCAGUUAUUCAGCAUAUUUACCGACGUCUUAAAGCAACGUAACAAUGAAGAACCACGACGCUAUUGUGAAGCAAUUAUUCAGGAUAUCACGUCGGGGAAGGAUUAAGAACCGCCAUGUAAUUCAAAAUAACACGACUCCAAUCCCAUAAUACCGACGUCUAAAAAACGAGAUAUAUAAUCUGAACGUUAAAAAAUACGACGUCAUCAUACAUUUUCCACGUCGCAAGUUCUUUUAUAAACGAAGAGGAACGAAAUGAAUUCCGACGGUAAUUCAUCAUAACCGCCGUCUAAUAUCAAUUAAACGACGUUAUUUGUAAUACGGCUCUCAUCAUAAUCAACGCCGUCUAUAUGUUCUGUAAUACGGCUCUCAUUUAUUUGGAACCGACGUUGUUUAGAAGUUCAACGUCGUCUAUAUUAAUAAGUGCGUCGUGAGUAAUGAAUACAUAUAAAUACAACGUCGACUAUAUACAUGCCACCGACGUUGUUUCGAAUUUCAACGUCAACUAUAUAAAUACAUACGUCGUAAAUAAUGACACUGACAACUAUUUCCACGUCAUCUUUUUUAGAAAAAUCGAAGUGGAAAAUUUAUUUCACGACGGUUGUUUGUAAAUAAGAGACGUAGUAGAUUUCAAUAACGUCGUCUUCUCAUGUAUUUAAAGACGUCAUAUUUUUUCUUGUCGUGAAAAUUAUAUUUAACGGCGUAGUGUUUUAGUUGUUGUCGUUGUAUGUCUAUCUUGCGGCCUUGUUCUUUUAAUAUGUGUCAUAUUUUUCCUUUUUAACGACGGUGAUUUGUUUGAGUUGGUCGUCUAUUCUCAUCCUCGACUAUUUUUUAGAACUUUAGCAGACUAAACACGUCUGUUUUUAUUUGUUUUCGACGUUGUUUUAUUUAACAACGUCUAAUAUUUAUCGUCGUUGUUUGUUUCUGAAAAUAGGACGUAUAAAUUUUGUAAUACGACUCUCAUAUAUUUGUAACCGACGUUGUUUCGUCGUUCAACGUCUACUCUAUAAAUACAUACGUCGUAAGUAAUGACACUGACAACUAUUUCCACGUCAUCUUUUAUAGAAAAAUCGAAGUGGAAAAUUUAUUUUACGACGGCUGUUUUUAUAUAGGCGACGUAGUAGGUGUCAAUAACGUCGUCUUCUAAUGUAUUUAAAGACGUCAUAUUUUUUAUUGUCGUGAAAAUGAUAUUUAACGGCGUCUUAUUUUAUUUUUCGUUGUUGUAUGUCUAUCUUGCGGCCUUGUUCUGUUAAUAUGUGUCAUAUUUUUCCUUUUUAACGACGGUUUUUUUAGAGAGUUGGUCGUCUAUUCUCAUCCUUGACUGCUUUUUUAGAUCUUUUUGCAGUACAAAGACGUCGUUUUGUAUUUGUUGAUGACGUUGUAUAUUUUAACAACGACGGUGAUUUAGCGUCGUGGUUUAUGAGGGAAAAGAUGACGGUGGAUUCCACGACCAUUGAAAAACCGAAUACACGACGGUGAUUUACCGUCGUCUUUUUGCUUUUUUGUAGUAGUGGGGGUGUGGGCGCAAGGCCACCAGGCUGCCUAAAUGGUUAGGGGUUAGCCUUCAAAUUUGGCUAUCAUGUUGUUUAAUCACUUCUAUGGAAGCAUACCAUCACAAUUAUGCCAUCUAACACACAUUCAAAUUUUGGAUUUUUUCGAUGAAGAACAUGUCUAGAACUAUACUUAAAUGCCUAAACAAUUUAACUGCUCUGGGUCAAAAAGGAAAUUCAAGUUUAACCAUCACUUGUACCUAUACAAGUGAUUAUGGAGAUGGGACUUUAUCUGAGUAGUUAUGAUGAUGAAGCAUCCUUAAUAUAGAAAGGAAUAAUGUGCAAAUACAAAGGUACUCUUGGGUCUUGUUGGGUUAGUUUCUUUAAAUCUUUCAAAAAACUUUUUAAUAGGUCAAAUUAUUCCGGAGAUUGGAAACAAGAAACGAAAUACAUGGUAGAAUUCCACAAGCCUUUCUCAGAUACAUGGUCUUGGUGUCUUGGAUUUACAUAGGGGUUGGGUUUCCGUGAAGGCAGCUGUACAGAAGUUUCCUUUGACAUUUUUGAACUACAUUUCAGAUAAUGAACAAUAUCUACAAAACCAUGUUUCACUUCAAUUUUAGCACGAUUUCGUGACUUAUGGAAAAAUGUCUGUUGUAUUUAAGUCCUAACUAAUUAGUAAGUUAAUAUGACGCUAACCAAUCAUUUUAGUUCAAUCUACAAUAUAUCUCUUUAUCCCUUAUUUAGUGAAAGACCAUAUUGAUAAAAAUUCAUCCUAAUGGAAGAGCAUUUAGCUAUCUAACUAUGAUCAAAUGAAUAAAUGAACACAAUGUUUUUACUAAACAAGGAAAUUCUUUUGAUAAUAACUGAGUGAUGGGUUCCGAUUUGGAUGAAAUUUUGAGACAUAAUCUUUGCCCAACAAUUUAAUGGUUCUCGCCGUUCAAGACUACUUGUCAUGUGCUCAUUGGGUCCACUAAAACCCAUGUCAAUAAGCCGUGGAAACUUUUUAAACGGUGUCGUCGUGACCCUAAUCAAUGCAUGAUGAGGUGCGGAUCCCAUUCCCGCGUUGUGCAGGUGUUUUCAUCUGACUACUUUGAGUCUUUUCGACAUGUAAUUACUGGAGUUCUUACUCCAAAUAACAGAUAUUGUACAAACUCGAAUGUGUUGGUCAAUUUGUGUUCCAGACUGAUUUCUUGUGGCCCUAAAAAAAUUCUUGUAUAGAGAGAGCUAGAGGAAGGGGAUGAGCUAGCUAGAGAAACUCAUCAUUUUUAAAGAAUUCCAAUUAAUGGCUGUUAUAAAGGAGUUGCUCACUAUCUUUUAUUUUUAAGUUCUUAGGUGAAUGAGACUGCUUAUAAGUGAUUAUGGAUAUGAGAGUAAAAAUCUGAGAGUACUAUGGAAAGAAGUAAUGUCAAGCAAUCCCUAGUUGAGAAUCCCACAUUGAAGGAUGGACGUUAUGCAAUAAUGCUUUAAAGAUUUUAGGCCUCUUUAUUUAGUGCAAAUUAAUUGAAUCAUAUGCAUUUUAGUAUUUAACAACAUGCUUUCGACAUCUAAUGGUGAUCAAAUAAUUGGACAAAUACAUGGAGAUGAGGCAUUUUUAAUCAAGCUAUGCGAGUCGUAAGUCUUUCAAACAUUAAUUUACUCUAAUAACAAAAUUUAUAAAUAAUAAAUUGCAAUUAAAUUGUAGUACUAAAUCUUAUUAAACCAUAAUAAUCUAUUAAAUAUAGGUCCAUGUUAUAAUAUUAGGGUUAUAGACCCACAUAUACUAUAACUUACUAGGUCCAUGUUAAUAUAUUUAUUUAUUUAUUUAUAAAAAGAUAAAAGAGAAAAAAGGGUAAGUAACAUUGUGGGGCGUUAAAGGCUGUUUAGUGGGGGCGUCAAACAAAAAAAAAGGCAUUUAAAAAAAUAAAGAACAAAGGCAUGUUAAAAUGUGCAUUUAACUUAAAACUCAGUUCUUGAUCUCCCUUCCCUAUCGGGUAGGGGUCUAGAUUAAGAAUCAAAGAGUUGGUAUUUGGAAUUUUUACUGGCUAUGUUUUAAUGCUUAUGAUAUGUUAUUCUAUACAUUUAAUUAUGUGUGCAUAUGAGUUUUUCUUUAAGAGUAUUACGUUGUAGUGGGUUGUUCUUUGAGGGGCUUGGAGUUGUGCUUUGUUUUGUAUGUUUAUUUCGGGUUCUCUGUAGUGGUCCAAAGUGGCAUGUGUUGGACUAUCUUGUUAGUCAACGGCAUUUGUGGUACUCUUUCCUACUUUAGGAUUUGUUCCAAGUGGAUUUCCUAGGAAGGUUUUAACGAGGCCACUGCUCUCGUGCCAAUUUUUAUAUGUCUUUUGGUUUAUGAAUUAAAUUUUAUUCUUAAAAAAAAAAAAAAAAAAAAAAAAAACAACUUACUAUAUGAAACGACGUUGUUUCAUUGAAGCAAACCUAAAAAACCAACUUUCACGUGACUGCAUCUUCUUCCUUGUGAUGCGGCUUGCAUAUCACAUAAUGACGUCGCUGCACGUUGACAUGCAUCACCCCGCCUCGCCACACUAAACAUGUAGUAAGCUGUUGAGGCCCAAAAAAUCCAGGGUUGGGCUCAAAUAAAUUCCUGGCCCAGUGCUACACCUCUUUAAGAAAAGACCCGGCACAGAGCACGCGGAAUUCGUCAUGCACGCUUUUACGAGCCACGACCACGUGCCAUGCCAAAUAAAUAUGCAAUUCAUCACGCUAAGAAUUAAAAUGAGCCUAUAAAAGGCACUGGCUCUACAAGCCCAUGCUAAUUAUUCUGUCAAGCAUCAUGUCUCUUUUCAAAGGCGAGAAAGUGGGUUGUGGUAUGGAUGGUAACGAGUUUUCAUGAGGCCCAUUGAUGAGCCAAGAAAUGGAAGUUUUAGGCUGCUUGGGAGCCCCAAAACUCAAGCCCAUUCUUUGAGCCCAAAUAUGCGGGUAGGCAUAAAACAGAGAAGAAUUAGCCCAAUACUCUAGAAAAAUUGGCCCAUCACCUUUAUAAAAUAGCAUAUCACCUUAAUAAGAUAGCCCAUAACUUUAGGAAAUUAGCCCAUUCUCUUAAUGCGCUAACCCAUCACCUUAGGAAAGCCUAAGCAACCAAUAAGAAAAUAUCUGCAAUCUCCAGCACAUGGCUGGAGACAAAAGCUUCGACAAAAGCUUCGACAAAACCCAAAGCUACCUAUGUAUGUGAACUGCAGGGAGGCUCCAGCACGUGGGCAAAGCAAACCUCAAGAUAGAUAGUUCCAAAAACUAGAGGAUAUUGGCGCGCGCAGGAGAAAAGGCAGCCUUCAGACCAGCCAAGGUUAUCUAUCUCCUUCCUUUACCAAGCCGCCCUCUGGGGUACCCUUUGGUACCGGAUUCAAAGGAUUAGUGCACCAUCUUGCCAUGAAAUAGGGGAGGAAAGAAGGAGAGGUGAUAACCAAAGAUAGGAAAUCCCCACUGAAGCAGCUGCGGGAAAAGCCUUUAGAGUUCCCAAAAACCUUGUCUUGGUGUGUUUGGACAGAGAAAAAUUGCAUAAAAGAGGAUGAAUCGAAAGGAAAUAAUAAAAAGGGAAGGGGAGACUUGGCCAAAUUGGAGAGAAACCAUUAGGGUUUCUUGGAAUGGAGGAGCUUCCAGCGGCUAUAAAAAGGGUCACCUCCUACCCAACACACAACACACAUUUGGAGAGCAAGCUUUAUCUCUCACAUCUGAAACCUCUGCAAUUUCGAGCCCCAUCCUUCCAUCUCUCCCCAUUUUCCCUUCUGGUAAACUGUUCCAAAGCUUGACAGAGUUUUCGUCGAGCUGCCGAAAAGUACUCAACACACCCAUUAUACCCUCUCUGUCUCUCUCUCUCUCUCUCUCUGUCUCUCUCUCUUUCUUUUCAACAAACCUUCUUAGAAUCCCUUACCCCUUUCCUUAGAACCUCUGUAUCUUGUAGGAACUCACAGCUUUGUCUCUCUCUCUUUAAUGCUAAACUCAUGAUUGCUUUGCUCCCAUACCACAAACUUCUCAUGCCAAGCUAAGAAUCUACCUGUAAGCAACUAUUAGUUUUGCUGGUGAAAGUAACCAAGGUGCUUCCUAAGGCUCAGCUACCAUUUCGAAGCAUUCUCAGGGCCUAAUUCUUGAACUGAGACCUAGGGGCAAUUUUCUCUCAUUUGGUUCUUUACGGCAGCUCAGACUCGCAGUAACUGCUGGAACGAAAAAGCCCAUACAUCAUUUGGUUCUUUACGGCAGCUCAGACUCGCAGUAACUGCUGGAACGAAAAAGCCCAUACAUAAGCUAAACAAAUGAACGCAAGAGGCGAUUUCCAUUUGCCUCGCUUCGAGGCGCGCUUAGGCAUGCCUUUGAAAACAUUGUUUUACAUAAAGAAUAUGAUCUCAAUAGUUAAAUAUAUCAACAAUAAGAAUCAUAAUCCAAAGUCUGAGAAUCACGUAGGAGAGAUGCAUCCAAAGCCUGAGCAUGACGUAGGAGAGAUGAGUGGGACGUGAGAGAGAACGGAAGGGGAGUGAGGAAACAGUAGAAAUAGACUUCCAUCAAUUUUGGUAACAAUUAAAAAAAGAAUAACAAAAUUUUAAAUAAAAUUCUGCUAGCUAAUGUGCCCACAACAUCUUUGGAUUUAGGGGUGCAAGUUGGAAUGGAAAUUCCGAUUCCGACUGAUUUCAAUUCGAAAAUUUCCGAUUUUGGCGAGUCCAAAUCAAUUCCAACAUCCGAAUGUUCCGAAAUCCGAAAAUUCUCAACAAAAAAAAAAAAAAAAAAGAUUUGGAAUUGGAAUAUAUUUCAAGAUUCCGAAAAUUCCGAAUUUUGAAAUAUAUUGAACAUUCAAGCUUAAACUACACAUAAUGACUAGUUUCAUGUUGAAUUUGACAUGACUAUAACCAAACAGACAUAGCUAUUUCAUAAAGGAUAACAACAUAUAAGUGAUAGCACAUAAUAGUUUUUUUGAGCUUUUCCGUAUGAUUUUUCAAUUUUGAACAAAUUUUAACCUUUCAAAUUGUUAGAUAUCUUUUAAAUUGUCAAUGAUUUUUCAAAAAUUUCCAAAAAAAAUCUCAAAAUAUGUACCGAAAUAUUCGUUUUCUGAAUUAGAAUGGAUGUUGAAAUUUCAAAAUUUUUGGGAAUGGAAUUGGAAAAGAAUUCAUUCCAAAAAUUUUUGGAAUGAAAUUGGAAUCCCUUAAUUCUGAUUCGAUCAGCCCAAAAAUCUGCCCUAAUUGGAUUAAUAAGGAUCUAGAUUUUAGAAAUGUACACCUCUUCUAUAUUAGUUAAAUCUAACUAAAGAAAAAUAUUUUGAAAAAUUUGGUGCCUAAAAUUGUUGAUGUUAAAUUAUAGAUUGGGAAUUUGGAGUAAACCACAUUAUACUAAAAUGUAAUUGACAUAUAUAUAUAUAUAUAUAUAUAUAUAUCACUAAGCAACAAACACAAUUCAAUAUCCCUCACUCUACUCAAAACUAUGGGUUUAAAAAAUAAAAAUAAAAACGAACUAUACCUAAAAUGCAAUCUUACCCCAUGUACACAAUUUUACUUUUCUACUACUAGUACAACAUAAAUUAAUAUAUAAGGAGCUUGGUAUAACAUGUAUACUAUUCUACUACUAAUGCGACAAACUGUACUGCAACGAUCAUAUGAAUAAACGCAUGACAAUCGUGAAUGUACACACGUGUAUUGUUUUCUUUCUAAAAGCUUAAUUGAAAUCCGAGUUCAUUAUGAUGAAUAUGUUUUACGCAAAACCAUUAAUUCUUUCGAGUCUUUUAUCUUUCUCUCUUUUUCUUCAAGAGGCAUUUGAAGUUUAUAACCCGUCUGUUUUAGGGUAUAAUUGUUUCAAACAUAUAGAAUUUCUUGCCAAUGGGUACUUUGAGGAUUACUUGAAUAUGUUACUGACACGAACCUUAUCUGAAGAAAUUCCAAAUUCAGGAUAUUGAGGUGAAGUUAUAGGUGGCACAUUUGAAUUUGUGAAAGAAAACAAUACUUCUGAAUAUGGACUAGCACAAUGUUGGAAUUAUAUUCGAAAUGAUGAGCGUUACGCACCAUAUGAUGUAGCAUGGAAAAUUGUCUGAGUAGAGCAAGCCCACAACUUCAAAAGCUUUGCGGGAUCAGUUCUUUGGUAGAAUUGACACGAAUAACGCGCUUUAUGGGAUGAGUUCAAAAGUUGUUAAUAAUCCCAAGUUGAUUCAGGAUAAAGUUCAUGCGUUGCUCACCCGCUUAAGUUUUAAAGCUAUUAAUGGACCGUUGUACGCUAAUGGCAAGAUAAAAAUAUCACCAAAAGGGAAAAAUGUUUUUGGUACCGUUGAAUGUACUAAGGACCUUUCUGAAGUAAAUUGUAAGGAGUGUCUUGAUGUUGCAAUAACUGAACUUCAAGAUCGUAGUUAUGGAAUGAGAGGUGGACAUGUUUUUUAUGGCAGUUGUUACAUAAGAUUUGAAUUUCAUCGAUUUUACUAUUAAUGCGUUUGUUUUGUAGGAUGAACUUUUUAAGAAUGUCAUUCCUAGGGUAUGAGAUGAGAACUAAUGCAUACAAUACUGGUUAUGAAAGUAGUGUUGAGCUAGCUGUUGUCAUCAUAUAAACUCAUAUAGGGGUUGUUUUGAGCUCAGGCGCCACUGAGACAACGUGCUUCCUUUCUUUCGGUUGAAGAUGGCCCAUACGAUGGUUAAUUGCUACUAGCCCUUUUUUAGUAGUGCCUAUUUUCAUAGGAACUUAUUAAUUUGGAACUUCUUCUACUAUCAACUGUUUGGCAUAACGUUCUUGUUUCAUUUGCAUUUGUGCAGAUUUUAAUUGAAAUGAUAAUAUCUACCGCAUAAACCCUAGUUAUGUAAUAUGUAUUUAUUGUAUCGCAUGGUUUCCCUAUGAUUCUUGAAUGCUAUCUCAAUGUUGGUUGAAUGGAUAAUCCUUUGCCUUUAUUUACUUGAUUUUUAAUUUGAGGGAAGCUAAUAAUGAGAAGAGAAAUUUUUGCAUUUGAUAAUUGAGCAUAUAUAAUUACUGGCGGACUCAAGAAUUUUUCAACGAAUGUGCAAUUUUUAAAGGCACAAGACUUGAUCGAUGAAUAAGUUUUUAUAAAGAUUUGGAAAUCUCUCAUAAAAAAAAAAAAAGGCUUGGUGUACAGGGGACGAUAAAAAAAAAAGAUAUGAAUUUGAUGUUUUAUAAAGACUUCUUUUAUUUAGCUAAGAUGUUUUGUAAGGACUUGAAUGGAGUUCUCUUAUAAAAAAAUAAAUUUAAAAAAAAAAACAAAAAACAAGAAGACCUUGCGAUUGGAAUUUGGGUCACUGGCUUUUGCGAUUGGAACUUGGACGUUUUCUCAAUUGAAAACAAGAAGACAUGACACUGCGAUAGGAUAGCUUUGUUGACCUACUCAAUUUCUCAAUUGAAUUUUAAACGACUCCAAGGAAGACACGACAUGACACCACUUAUUGUCAUAGUCAGUACUUGCAUUAUGCGAAGACAAAUGACUACUUAGACUUCCACAUGAUGGAGUAAUUUUAAAGUCCAGACACAUUUUCCACCGUGAAACCGAACGACAUUGCAUCUAGAUCAACAUCAUUUCCCACCGUGAAACUAAGAAAACAUUCUCUCCCACCAAAACGACUUGACAUACUUUGGAUUCAAGAGUAAUGUUGUCUUGUCUUACAACUUGGUAUGCCAAUUAAUAUCAGUAGUGUUAAACCAUAUUUCAAUUUGCAAGCCUAAUUGGCAAUUCUUACAAGGAAACAUCAAUUACGUCCCACAUUCGACAUUGAAAAUAUUACAUACGUCAAUUACAUUUGUUCACCAUCAAGAAUCUCAGCAAGUGACGCGGUAAGAAUUCGUGUUGUUUGCAAAUAAUCAACUCAAAUUUUCAUUUAUGUUUACAAUAUUACAUGACAAGAGAAUCUUAACUAUCGUGUCACGCGAUGAGUGAUGCAGGCACAAAUGUAAAUAACUAAGCAAAUUCUUUCUCACAAGGGUUUCCAUCGAAUUCAAUAGUUCCAAGAUUUGAAAGACUAAUUCAAUUAUCAAGACAAGUUAACAUUUUGGUAUCCCCCCACUAUGAAAAUUCAAGUUGCGAAUUAGUCAAGUUUGGUUUAGACAAAAUGAAAAGCUUAGGCUACUUGUGAGAUCAUCGUGGACAGCCUUUUUCCUUUGACGCUAUAACGGGUGACAAAAUGUAGUGACAUAAGUUUCCAACAAUGCAUGUACCAUCAGUGGAAUAUAUUGCCACGCGACUGACUAAAUUGGCAUUACCCUGCAAAAAAUUAAUACCUGUUUUCUGCAGCCAAAUAGAAAGAUAUUUUCUUUUUCAUUAGGAAAAGCAUAGUUAGGUGGAAACUAAACUUGGCAAACGUUGUAGUAUUUGGCCAAAAACAAAAAUGGCUUGUGUACAAACAAGGACAAGGACAGGGUUGAAGUGGUCAUGCCCUCCUUAUAUUUUGAUUAUGAAAACAUUUGUUUAAAAUUUUUGAAAACCAUGUUAUGAAAAGAGAAAUUCUAACUCCGUCACGAUUUACAAAUUACUUUCACAAAUCAUAUACGCACCAAAUGGUUUCAAUUUCGCCAAUUUUUAGAGGCAAAGUGAUUUACUCAAUGUGAUUAUAUUCAAAGGUUUAUGAAAAAUAAAAUUUGAGCAACAAUCAAUGUCCAUCCAGUUUUUUCUUUUCUUUCUUUUCUUUAGCAAGACAUUUCUUCGACAAAUUGUAAACUUCAAAUUAAUAAUAAAAGUUAUUUCCUCUUUGUUUAGCUAAUAAUUAGCUUUUUUGCUAUACUUAUAUUUUUCUUAAGAAAGGGUAUCCAAAUUUGUGGCAUUUUCUAACAUUAGAAAGAAAAGUACCACUACACUAAGAUUGGGCUACUUGGUUUCGAUACGUACUAUCAGUAUAUAAACCCAUGCAAUUCCUUAGACAAAGCUCAUAUCUCUUGUGUCUGUAAAAGGAUUAAAGACUUAAGGUAAGAGAAGUCUAAUGUCCUCUCUCUUUCUCUCUCGUCUUACGUUUACUAUUCCAUAAUUCUAUCUGCAACAUAGAAACCACAGCCUCAAUCCGUCCAUCUCUCUCCAGGCUCCAGCUCUAUCUCUCUGUCUCUCUCUCAAUUAUUUCUCUCCCUCCCUCACUUCGAUGGCCAUAGUUGACCUCAGAAGGUGCUUCAAACACUAAUUGAAUGUGUUGGUCAAUUAGUGUUCCAGACUGAUUUCUUGUGGCCCUAACAAAAUUCUUGUAUAGAGAGAGAGAGAGAGAGAGAGAGCUAGAGGAAGGGGAUGAGCUAGCUAGAGAAACUCAUCAUUUAAAGAAUUCCAAUUAAUGGCUGUUAUAAAGGAGUUGCUCACUAUCUUUUAUUUUUAAGUUCUUAGGUGAAUGAGACUGCUUUUAAGUGAUUAUGGAUAUGAGAGUAAAAAUCUGAGAGUACUAUGGAAAGAAGUAAUGUCAAGCAAUCCCUAGUUGAGAAUCCCACAUUGAAGGAUGGACGUUAUGCAAUAAUGCUUUAAGGAUUUUAGGCCUCUUUAUUUAGUGCAAAUUAAUUUUGAGUUGGAUAAUCAUAUUUGAAUAAUAUGCAUUUUAGUAUUCAACAAUAUGCUUUCGAUAUCUAAUGGUGAUCAAAUAAUUAGACAAAUACAUAGAAAUGAGGCAUUUUUAGUUACUCUAUGCGAGUCGUAAGUCUUUCAAACAUUAAUUUAUUCUAAUAACAAAAUUUAUAAAUAAUAAAUUGCAAUUAAAUUGUAGUACUAAAUCUUAUUAAACCAUAAUAAUCUAUUACAUAUAGGAUGUUAUAAUAUUAGGGUUAUAGACCUCUAUAUACUAUAACUUACUAGGUCCAUGUUAAUAUAUUUAUUUAUUUAUAAAAAGAUAAAAGAGAAAAAAGGGUAAGUAACAUUGUGGGGCGUUAAAGGCUGUUUAGUGGGGGCGUCAAACAAAAAAAAAAGCAUUUAAAAAAAUAAAGAACAAAGGCAUGUUAAAAUGUGCGUUUAACUUAAAACUCAGUUCUUGAUCUCCCUUCCCUAUCAGGUAGGGGUCUAGAUUAAGAAUCAAAGAGUUGGUAUUUGGUAUUUUUACUGGCUAUGUUUUAAUGCUUAUGAUAUGUUGUUCUGUACAUUUAAUUAUGUGUGCAUAUGAGUUUUUCUUUAAGAGUAUUACGUUGUAGUGGGUUGUUCUUUGAGGGGCUUGGAGUUGUGCUUUGUUUUGUAUGUUUAUUAGGGUUCUCUGUAGUGGUCCAAAGUGGCAUGUGUUGGACUAUCUUGUUAGUCAACGGCAUUUGUGGUACUCUUUCCUACCUUAGGAUUUGUUUCAAGUGAAUUUCCUAUGAAGGUUUUAACGAGGCCACUGCCCUUGUGCCAAUUUUUGUAUGUCUUUUUGGUUUAUGAAUUAAAUUUUAUUCUAAAAAUAUUUAUAAAAAAAAAAAAAAAAAAAAAAAACUUACUAUAUGAAACGACGUUGUUUCAAUGAAGCAAACCUAAAAAAAACAACUUCCACGUGACUGCAUCUUCUUCCUUGUGAUGCGGCUUGCAUAUCACAUAGUGACGUCGCUGCACGUUGACACGCAUCACCCCACCUCACCACGCUAAACAUGUAGUAAGUUGUUGAGGCUCAAAAAAUCCAGGGUUGGGCCCAAAUAAAUUCCUGGCCCAGUGUUACACCUCUUUAAGAAAAGACCCGGCUCGGAGCACGCGGAAUUCGUCAUGCAGCUUUCACAAGCCACGACCAUGUGCCAUGCCAAAUAAAUAUGCAAUUCAUCAAGCUAAGAAUUAAAAUGAGCCUAUAAAAGGCACUGGCUUUACAAGCCCAUGCUAAUUAUUCUGUCAAGCAUCAUGCCUCUUUUCAAAGGCGAGAAAGUGGGUUGUGGUAUGGAUGGUAAAGAGUUUUCAUGAGGCCCAUUGAUGAGCCAAGAAAUGGAAGUUUUAGGCUGCUUGGGAGCCCUAAAACUCAAGCCCAUUUUUUGAGCCCAAAUAUGUCGGUAGGCAUAAAAGAGAGAAGAAUUAGCCCAAUACUCUAGAAAAAUUGGCCCAUCACCUUUAUAAAAUAGCAUAUCACCUUAAUAAGAUAGCCCAUAACUUUAGGAAAUUAGCCCAUUCUCUUAAUGGGCUAACCCAUCACCUUAGGGAAGCCUAAGCAACCAAGAAGAAAAUAUCUGCAAUCUCCAGCACAUGGCUGGAGACAAAAGCUUCGACAAAAGCCAAAGCUACCUAUGUAUGUGAACUGUUGGGAGGCUCCAGCACGUGGGCAAAGCAAACCUCAAGAUAGAUAGUUCAAAAAACCAGAGGAUAUUGGCGCGCGCAGGAGAAAAGGCAGCCUUCAGACCAGCUGUUGAGGCCCAAAAAAUCCACGGUUCAGCCCAAUUAAAUUCUCGGCCUAAUGCGAUACCUUACCGAGAAAAAAUUCGAUUUGGGCACGCGAAAGUUCGUCAUAUGCGCUUGCACACAUGCCACGCCAAGCAAAUAAGCAACACGCCACGCUACAAGCUUAAGUGGGCCCAAGCCACGCAAGAUGCCCGGGGCUUGCUUGAGUGGGUUGUGGUAUGGAUGGUAAUAAGUUGACAUGAGGCCCAUUAAUGGGUCGAGAAAUGGAAGUCCCGGGGUUGCUUGGGAGCCCCGGAACUCAAGCCCAUUUCGUAGGCCCAAAUAUGUGGGUGAGCAUAAAGAGAGAAAAAUAGCCCAUUACUUCAACCAAAAUAGUCCAUUAACUCAACCAAAAUAGCCCAACAAUUGAUGAAGUUAGCCCAUUCACUUGAUAAACCAACCUGUUGUCCUAGAAGGCCCAAGCAACUUAAGAAAAUAUCUGCAAAAUCUCCAGCACCUAGCUGAAAAUAAAAGCUACGAUGAAAGCCAAAAUAUCCAUGUGUGUAAGCUGCUGGGAAGCUCCAGCACAUGCGGGGAGCAAGUUCCAAGCAAGAAACAUUCAAGGAACCAAUGAAUAUUAGCCUGUGACCUGCCAGAAGCACUCUUUGAACCAGCAUGUAUAUCCACUUCCUUUCCUUCAUCAGAUCUGGCCAAGGAAGGAGGAAGGAAAGAAGAAGAAAAAUAGCUAAGAAUGGAGCCUCCUAUUGGAACAGCUGCGGGAAAAGGGGGUCUUGAGCUCCCAAAAUUCCUGAUUUUGUGCAAAUAGAUAGAGGCAAUUUCACUAAGAAAGGAAAGUCAAGGGAGGAGAGGAGAAGGGAAGGAAAAGCUUGGCCAAAAUGGAUAGAAACCAUUAGGGUUUCUUGGAAAACGAUGGCUUCCAGCGGCUAUAAAAGGAGCCUCUUCUAUCCAACCAAAAACAAACUCAGAUUCAGAGAGCAAGCUUUCUCUCUUACCUGCAAAAACCCAGCAAUUUCGUGCACUAUUCACCUUUCUUCUCCAUUUUCCUCUUCUGGCAGACCAUUUUCACAUCUGUCAGAAGUUUUGUCAAGCUGCCGGAAGAACAUUGUUCUUUCUUUCUUUCUUCUCAGCCAAAUCAACCUGCAAACCUCUUCUUCCUCACCUUAAACACUCCCAUUUCUCCCUAGGAAGCCAUAUUUUCCUCUUUGGUGCUAAACUCAUGCUGAUUUUGCUUCCAUGCCACAAGCCUUUCAUGCCAAGCUAAAAAAUUUAUCUGUAAGCCUCAAGAAAUCAUCUGUAAGCUGUUGUUAUUUUCAUUGGUGAAGGUAACCAAGGUGUUUCCUAAGGCAUCUCAGUCCUUUCGAAGCAUUCUUGGGGCUUGAUCUUCGAACUCAGACAAAGGGGACAAUUUCGUCAAUCUGCCUUUUACGGCAGCCCAGCCCAUUUAAGCUGCCGGAAGAAAAAAGCCCCUACAUAAAAUGGCGACUCUGCUGGAGAACAGGCCAUUACCUUCACCAAUGCCUCCAAGGAAGAAGAACAGAGCCAAGCUUAUCGUAGAAAUCCAAACACCACUGCUGGAAGAGCCAUUGCCAUAAGCAAUAAACCAAAGAAAAUAAAGAGAUAAGAACAUUCCCUCUUUCUUUUUCUUUUUUCCUUUUGUUGGCUAUCUACUUUGCAUGACAAGCAUAACAAGGGUUAAUGACAUGUGCCUUUUGGUUGUGUCUUAGAUCUCCAUUCUGAAGCAAAACCAAAUCUAGUAUAAGAGUUGGGGGCUUAGGCAAAUCCAUCAUUCAUGCCAUUGAAGCGGACUACACAUGCAAACUCCAAAAUACUUGGGGGCUUCGUGCCAAGCAAAUCUGUAAAAAAAAAAAAAAAGGAGUCAAAAUUUAGAUCCAAAUGACUUGGGGGCUUCCUGCCAAUUGAAAAAAAAAGUCAAGCACAAACACUUCAAAUUUCUCAUGCUAAACCAAGCUAUACCUCGGUUCCAAGAGUUUUGAUUCAACAUUAUUCACAUCUUCAACCAAGUCCAAGUUAUAUACAUUCAUUCAUCAUUGUUUCCACCACUUGCCUUAUUUUUUUUUCAAACCUUCUUAAACAUUCUUCAGGCACUUGCCUUAUUUCAAACCUUCUUAGCCCCUGCUCGAUUUCAAUCCAUUCUUAUGACAAUUAAACAACCUCAUUGCACCUUUAAAAGAACACUUGAAGUGACCUCAACGACUACCUUGUUCUUCUCAUGCUUUGGAACCUCUAUAUCAAGUCUGAAAAAAGAUACAGACGCUGGAGAGGUACUCAUGAAAAAAAAAAAAAACAGAGGUGCCGGAAGCAUAUUUUCUUACAUUCUUCCAGCUCCUACUUUACAAGCAAAGAAUUUCUGGCACUUGCCUUAUUUCAAAUCUUCUUAGCCCCUACCCUAUUUCAAACAUCAUGCUAGUGUAUAUGCUCCUUAAACCCCAAAAGCUCAAUUUAUCCUUGCAACAAUUCAACAAACUCAUUAUAUCUGUGAAAGUAACCAAAAACUCACCUUUAUUCUACAAGUUCCCAGCAAAUCAGUAAGAAGAUGGCAUUUCUCAUGCUUUGGAACCUCUCAAUCAAGCCUGAAAAAGAAACAAGGGAGUACGUUGGCCAGAUCAGAUGCUGGAAGGGAACUCGUAAAUGAAAAGGGGGCACUGGAAGCAUAAUCGCUAUUGAAGCAUAUUUUUUCCAAAGACAAGUUGCAAGAGACCAGAACUCACUUUCACGCUAUCAAAAUCCUAGAAAAUUAGACUUCUCAUGCUUUCUCAUGCUUUGGAGCUUCUAAACAAGAGAAUACGUUAGCCAAAAUCAGACGCCGGAAAGGUACUCAUACACAAAGGAAGGCGCUGGAAGCAUAAUUUUCUCAGAGUGCAAUCAAACUCAUCUAUCAAGCAUUUGACAAAAUUCACAGGGCAUGAUACCAAUCCACAUGCCAAGAAAUUUCAAUUCAUUCAAGCAUUCCGCGCAAUUCGGGCAUUCAAGCAAAUUGAAGAACUCAUGCUCUCACGACAAUAUUGCUCAAGAACAUGCUCUAGCAAUACUCAGAUCAGCACUCAAUGCUAACAGAAAGGACAUGCCAAAUUCUCAACAAAAACAGCAUGCCAAGCAAAAUUUAUACACAAAUUUUCCAACCAUUCUAGCUAGAACAUCCCACCUUUAGAAAAUCACUAUAAAUCAAGCUUACAACCAACAAAUCCCAGACUUUUCAGAUUAGAACUAGGCAUAUCAAGCUUCAUUUUUCCAAAAUUUCGUUGCAUUUCGAGCUAGGGAAGCCUGUCAAACAGAUUUCUAAAACAGCCCAUGCAGCAGCAACUGUACAGCUCCAGCAGCUUAACCCUUACUUUGAAAUUCCACCGAAAAUUCAUUUUUUCUUCAAGUGAUGCAAGACCUAUUCCGACAUAACCAUUGAGAAGUCCAUUUUCAUGUCUCAAAAGCUCCAACUCAGAUUCGAAAAGAAACAUUUCAAAAGUUCAAAAAACUGCCAGCAAGGUACUUUGAGAUAUUUUGACAAACACUUGGCAUGCAUACCCAAGUAAGCUUGCAUGACUCUUGUUUAUCACCAAGCUAGAAUCCUAGACUAAAAGCUCAACCUCAGAACCCGAUUUAUAGUUCACAAAUGCUGGGAAAUACAGAGGAACUCAAGCAUUCAAGCAUAGAGAAACAAGCAUGCAACAAAGGCAUCAACAUCAACUCAUGAACAUGCUUCAGAAAAAUGGAGGCAUAGAGCACUAGAAUGGGUGGAUGAUCCUCAAUUUUGGAUAUGUUAUAAACAACAUAAUUUCGAGAAAAUUUUGUGAAGCAAGCGCAAUCAUCCAAGCAUCAUAAGUUAAAGAUACAUGCAGAAGCAGAAUCUGCAGAAACUCACCAGCCAUGGAUGAACACAGAGGUUUCAGACCAGUUUUGAGGCAUCAGAAAACUUCAAAAAAUUCUACAAAUUUUACAGGCUAUAGUACUCAAGCAUAUGAAUAACUUUCAUCAAGGAAGUUUUCUGAUCCGAGCUUUUGAAAUAUGACUUAUGUACUAAUGCACAAUACCGACAGGUUUGGGUCUUGAAGAAGAAGAGGAAAGAAGAGAAUGAGAGAAAAUCAGAAAAUAAAGCAUGCCAUGCCAAAUGAAAGGAAAAGAGAGCAGCUACUUGCAGAUAAAAAAUUCAAAAGGAAGGGGCUACACAAUUUUUCCCACGUGAAGGCCAAGCUAGCAAAGAGACGAUGCGCCCAGCUCUCUUAUGCUCUCUCUCUUCUGCAACCCGCCAUGCAUCAAUACAAGCAUUUGUGAAUCAAUCCACACAAACCAUGCAACUCAAGCAUUUCACUUGAUGCAAUCAUUUCAAGCAAACCAAACCAGAUAUCACAAGAUCAAGCUUCUCAGGCCAAACAAUCAUCAUAAAAAUGAGAACUUGGCAGUUUUAGAUGCUGGAAGCACAUAGAAGAAGCCAUGCUAUCACCAUAUCAUGCCAAAUUGUCACCAUCGCAACAAAGGGAUAUCCUAAGUUCAUCAUGCCAUGCAAUGACCUAAACAAAUACUCAGAAGGCCACGCUGCAAGAGUUUUUGCAGCUCAUGCCAAUCAAAUCUUUUUUUGAUGAUUAUGGUGCACUUGGCGGCUGAGUAAGGAAUUCAUUGCAAUCACCACCAAUAAAGCCAAAACCUCAAUAACCAAAUUCAAGCCAAGCAAAACAUGGAAGAUAAUGAUACACUAUACGAGAUGCCCCUGGAAAAUAACACAAGCUCUAUAUUCAUGCUGUCGGAAGAGUGAACCCUCAUGCCAUGCCAAGCUAUAUCUUGAUUCAACGCAACCGUUAGAUUAUCCACAUCCUCAUAGCAAGUCCAAGCUAAUCAUGCCAAGCCAAGUUACGUUUUUUCCAGCACAUAUUCCAUGCCAAACAAAACAGUUUCCAGCACCUAUCCUGAUUCAAAUAUCCUUCCAGCACUUGCCCUGUUUCAAAUAUCCUUCCAGCGCAUGCCCUAUUUCAAACACCAUGCCAGCACCUGCUCUAUUUCAAAUAUCCUUCCAGUACAUGCCAAUGCCAAACAUCAAGCAUACAUGCCAAUGCCAAAAUUGUUGAUGUUAAAUUAUAGAUUGGGAAUUUGGAGUAAACCACAUUAUACUAAAAUGUAAUUGACAUAUAUAUAUAUAUAUAUAUAUCACUAAGCAACAAACACAAUUCAAUAUCCCUCACUCUACUCAAAACUAUGGGUUUAAAAAAUAAAAAUAAAAACGAACUAUACCUAAAAUGCAAUCUUACCCCAUGUACACAAUUUUACUUUUCUACUACUGGUACAACAUAAAUUAAUAUAUAAGGAGCUUGGUAUAACAUGUAUACUAUUCUACUACUAAUGCGACAAACUGUACUGCAACGAUCAUAUGAAUAAACGCAUGACAAUCGUGAAUGUACACACGUGUAUUGUUUUCUUUCUAAAAGCUUAAUUGAAAUCCAAGUUCAUUAUGAUGAAUAUGUUUUACGCAAAACCAUUAAUUCUUUCAAGUCUUUUAUCUUUCUCUCUUUUUCUUCAAGAGGCAUUUGAAGUUUAUAACCCGUCUGUUUUAGGGUAUAAUUGUUUCAAACAUAUAGAAUUUCUUGCCAAUGGGUACUUUGAGGAUUACUUGAAUAUGUUACUGACACGAACCUUAUCUGAAGAAAUUUCAAAUUCAGGAUAUCGAGUUGAAGUUAUAGGUGGCAUAUUUGAAUUUGUGAAAGAAAACAAUACUUCUGAAUAUUGGCUAGCACAAUGUUGGAAUUAUAUUCGAAAUGAUGAGCGUUACGCACCAUAUGAUGUAGCACGGAAAAUUGUCUGAGUAGAGCAAGCCCACAACUUCAAAAGCUUUGCGGGAUCAGUUCUUUGGUAGAAUUGACAUGAAUAACACGCUUUAUGGGAUGAGUUCAAAAGUUGUUAAUAAUCCCAAGUUGAUUCAAGAUAAAGUUCAUGCGUUGCUCACCCGCUUAAGUUUUAAAGCUAUUAAUGGACCGUUGUGCGCUAAUGGCAAGAUAAAAAUAUCACCAAAAGGGAAAAAUGUUUUUGGUACCGUUGAAUGUACUAAGGACCUUUCUGAAGUAAAUUGUAAGGAGUCUCUUGAUGUUGCAAUAACUGAACUUCAAGAUCGUAGUUAUGGAAUGAGAGGUGGACAUGUUUUUUAUGGCAGUUGUUACAUAAGAUUUGAAUUUCAUCGAUUUUACUAUUAAUGCCAAAAUCAUCAUCUCUAGAUCUAUCCAACAAUAAACUUCCGGGUUUCUUGUGUGGAAUCAAGGCCAGUAAUUUAACCCUUCUUGAUCUCACGGGCAACCAUGUAUCUGGAGAACUUCCAGAUUGUUGGGCGCAUUUAGAAAAUCUAGUCUAUCUUGGCUUGUGUGGCAAUGGUUUUUUUGGCAAAAUUCCUACCACCUUGGGGAAUUUAUACUCUCUUGAAACCUUGAAACUCAAAAACAACAGAUUUGUGGGAGAGUUUCCUUCAUCCUUGAUGAACUGUAAACACUUGAAAGUUUUUGAUGUUGCAGAACUGUCAGGAUUGAUACCUGGAUGGUUAGGGUUUGAACUUCGGAAGUUGGUUUUCCUUAUCCUCCGUUCUAAUCUCUUUUAUGGAAGAAUUCCUUUACAGUUAUGCAAUCUAACACACGUCCAAAUAUUGGAUUUGUCAAUUAACAACAUCUCUGGAACUAUACCCAAGUGUCUCAACAAUUUAACGGCUUUAGUUGAUAAAGGACAUUCAAUUCUAACCAUCACUCAUCAUUAUGCAAGUGAUUUUGGAAAUGGGAUUUUUUUGGAGAGCUAUGAUGAUGCAGCAACCUUAAUAUGGAAAGGAAUAAUGUCUGAAUACAAGAGCACUCUGGGACUUGUGAAGAGCUUUCAUUUGUCAAGCAAUCAAUUGACGGGGGAGAUUCCUAAAGAAAUCAUUCAUCUUGGUGGUUUGGUUUCUUUAAACCUGUCGCGAAACCAUCUAACAGGUCAAAUAAAUCCAGACAUUGGGAAGUUGGAGUUAUUACAGUCUCUUGAUUUAUCAAGAAACCAGAUCGAUGGAAGAAUUCCAACAAGUCUUUUUCAGAUAUACAGUCUUGGUGACUUGGACUUGUCAAACAACAACAUUGGGGUCUCAACUCCAAAACUUUGAUCCGUCAGCCUUUGCCGAAAACCCUCUGCAUUGUGGACUUCCACUUCAAAGGAUGUGUGAUCAAGAGAAAGAGAAAGGCAGUGUUCAACAAACUGGCUUAGGGAAUCAAGACCAUGAGGGUGGGCUUGUAACGCGUGGAUUUUACAUCAGUAUGGGGCUAGGAUUUGCUUUUGGAUUUUCGGGAGUUUCUGGCACAUUGAUGUUCCACGAGUCAGGCAGAUCCAUAUAGUUAAAGUUCUUCAUAUUUUAGAAAGAAUGACUCAACCUGAGGCCAGCAAUAUCAUUAGGUAAAGGGUAAUUAGUAUGAUAUGUAUUCAAAGAUUGAAUUAAUAUAACGUUUGAAGUUAGCAUGAUAUGUAUUCAAAGAUUGAAUAUAACGUUUGAAGUUAACAUGAUAUGUAUUCCAUUUACUAGUUGUACAAAAGAAAUUAGCGUCAUCCUCUUGAAUUAACAUAUGCGUCGAUCAUCAUAUAUAUAUUGUCGCUAAGAUUAAUUUGGUUUUUGUAUUUUAUCAUCAACAAUUGUUUAAUAUAUAUUCCACCUUCAUGUGGGGUAUAGUUCAGUUGGUUGAGCUCUUCCAUCUCCAACUCCUCCAAACACUGAAUGAAUAUUUUUGUUGAGCUCUUUAGUGUAAUACACUUUUGUGAUCGUUGGCUAUUUAGGGAGAGUUUGUUGGGUUAGUAUGCCAAAGUUUGAUAUUCCUUUAUCUGAUCUUACACUCGGGGGGAGUAUGUUUUUGCAACUACAGUACAAGCCUUGUUGAUCUUGAAAUUGCGGACGACAAUCUAACUGGUUUAAUUCCCAAUGUUUUUGGAAAUAUGAGCUCUCUUGCAUAUCUUGAUCUCUCUAUUAACCAGAUUGAUGGAGGGAACCCGAAUUGGUUUGCCAGGCUAUGUAGUUUGCAAUCAUUGUGGCUUCAAAGAAAUCAUAUGAGUAGACAAUUAUCCAAGUUUGUUCAAGUAUUGCCCACAUGUGCUCAAAACUCAUUAGAGGAUUUGAAUCUCUCUAAGAAUGCUUUUCAUCUUUAAAAUACCUGAAUUUAGCUGGAAACUAUCGAAUUUAGCAAGAAUUCUUUUAAAGGGAUGAUUUCUGAAACCCAUUUCUCAAAACUCUCCAAAUUAAGGUCUUUAGAUUUAUCCCUUAACUCCUUAGUUUUAAAUUUCCAUUCUGAUUGGAUUCCUCCUUUCCAACUGAGUAUCAUUAUAUUAAGCUUCACAUUUCCCAAAAUGGCUUCAAACUCAAAAAGAUUCUUACGAACUUGAUAUUUCAAAUGCUGGAAUUUUUGAUAUCCUUCUAAGUUCGUUUUGGAGUAUGUGUCGUAACUCCACCUUUAUUAAUCUCUCACACAACCAAAUUAGUGAAAUAUUUGCAAAUUUGACACUGGAUUUUGCAUAUUCCCCAACUCUAUCAAAAGCCUCAUAUCUGGAUCUCUCUAAUAAUAAAAUUUCAGGGUCGCUUUCUUUCUUGUGUGCAAGUGUAGCUAUGAAUUUAUCGUUUCUUAAUUUCUCAAGCAACAGUUUUUUUUGGAGAACUUCCUGAUUGCUGGAACCAUUGAUUCGGACUUCUCUGAUUAGUAUGUAUUGAUUCCAGCCAGUGUGAAUGAAAAAAUUUCCCAGCCGAAGCGGACUUGAUUUUAAUAUUUACAGCUGUUCAAUAUCACUUUUCUAUCCUUAAUUUUAUGAAUUGGACACUCCUUAACUUUGUCUUGAAUAAAUGUAUGACUUUGCUUUGGUCUCACUAGUUAAAAAAAACCCUUGCGCGACGAAACCUAAAACUUCGUUGCUCAAAGUCUUGCGCGACCAAAUUUUGCACGACGAAAAAUAAUUCGUCGCGCAAAGUCACUUCGCGCGACAAACUUUUGCGCAACAACAAUAAAUCGUCACACAAAGUCUUGCACAACCAAAUUUUGCGCGACGAAAAAUAAUUCGUCUCGCAAAGUCACUUUGCGUGACAAAUUUUUGCGCAACGACAAUACAUCGUCUCCCAAAGUGACUUUGCGCGACGAAACAAUAAACUUCGUCGCGCAAAGUCCUUAUAAAAAAAUAAAAUAAAAAAUUUAUUUUCUAAAAUCUUUGCAUGACGUAAUCCAAACAUUUCGUCGCCUAAACCAAUUUAUUUUUGUUUUUUAUUUUGUGUGCAUAACACUUAAGAAAUUAAACGAUAUAUAUAUUUAUUAAGUAGCUUUAAAUUUAUUACUUUAGAUUGGAUCGGAUUUUUGUUAGAAAAAUAUAUUAUUGUUGUUCAGAUUGGGUUUUUGUUAGAAAAUAUAUUUUUUAAAUUGACGAUCGAAUUAUUUCAUUGUAUUCAUAUAGGGUCAAGGAGUGUAGCUGUAAAAAAUCAUCAAAAUCGGAGUUAAAAUAAAAGUUAAUCGUGAUUUUUCAUUAUAACCAUCGAAAUUUUUUGUCCCAUUACUUGAUCUCUAAAUGUUUAUUUAUUUUUUUAUUUUUGGCGUAUAUGAUCUCGAAGUAUAAACAAACAAGUUUGACGGUUGGAUCGUUGGAACUAGUUUUGUUGAAUGCAUAUGCCAUCAAAACAAUAUAUUCACUAACAAUUAAGAGUUUAUUUAUACUUUCAUUAAAUAUAACAUAAGAUUUUGUAGUAUCCACUAGUGUACAUAUUUUAAAUUGAAUAUUAAAUUUAGUCAUUGUAUUCAUAUAGGGUCAAGGAGUGUAGCUGUAAAAAAUCAUCAAAAUCGGAGUUAAAAUAACCAUUAAAUCAUGAUUUUUCAUUUAUAACCAUCGUAGAGUUUUGUCUCGUACUUGAUCUCUGAAUGUUUAUUUUUUCCGAUUUUUGGCGUAUAUGAUCUCGAAGUAUAAACAAACAAGUUUGACGGUUGGAUUGUUGAAACUAGUUUCGUAGAAUGCGUAUGCCAUCAAAACAAUAUAUUCACUAACAAUUAAGAGUUUAUUUAUACUUUCAUUAAAUAUAACAUAAGAUUUUGUGGUAUCCACUAGUGUAAAUAUUUUAAAUUGAAUAUCAAAUUCAGUCAUUAUAUUCGUAUAGGGUCAAGGAGUGUAGCUGUAAAAAAUCAUCAAAAUCAGAGUUAAAAUAACCGUUAAAUCAUGAUUUUUCAUUUAUAACCGUCGAAAAGUUUUGUCCCGUUACUUGAUCUCUAAAUGUUUAUUUUUUCCGAUUUUUGGCGUAUAUGAUCUCGAAGUAUAAACAAACAAGUUUGACGGUUGGAUCGUUGAAACUAGUUUCGUAGAAUGCAUAUGCCAUCAAAACAAUAUAUUCACUAACAACUAAGAGUUUAUUUAUACUUUCGUUAAAUAUAACAUAAGAUUUUGUGGUAUCCACUAGUGUAAAUAUUUUAAAUUGAAGAUCAAAUUCAGUCACUAUAUUCAUAUAGGGUCAAGGAGUGUAGCUGUAAAAAAAUAAUCAAAAUCGGAGUUAAAAUAACCGUUAAAUCGUGAUUUUUCAUUAUAACCAUCGAAAAAUUUUGUCUCGUUACUAGAUCUCUGAAUGUUUGUUUUUUGCGAUUUUUGGGGUAUACGAUCUUGAAGUAUAUACAAACAAGUAUGACGGUUGGAUCGUUGAAUGGUGUGUGUAUAUAUAUAUAUAUAUAUAUUUAUUAAGUAUCUUUAAAUUUAUUUAUUUUGUAUGUAUAACACUUAAGAAAUUGAAUAGUAUAUAUAUUUAUUAAGUAGCUUUAACUUUAUUUAUAUUUUAAAUUGUAAAAUAAAUUAUUUUAUUUUUUAUUAUUCAUAACAAUUAUUUUUAUAAAUAUUGUGUUACGAACCAAUUUUUCGUCUCUCAAAAGUUUGCGCGACUAACAGUUCGUUGCGUAAAACUCUAAAAACUUGGGCGGGUACCAAAAAUGGGACGCGGGAUAUUUUUUUUUUUUAAAUUUUAAAUUUAGACUUUGUGCGACCAAUAUUUUUUGUCGCUUAAAACUUUGCGCGACCAAUAUAUAUUUUUCGUCACGCAAAAAUUUGGGCGGGUACCAAAAAUGAGACGGAAUUUUUUUAGACUUUGCGUGACCAAUAUGAAUAUUUCAUCGUGCCAAAAUUUAAAAAUUUUGGCGGGUACCAAAAAUGGGACGAGGGAAUUUUUUUUAGACUUUGCACGACCAAUAUUCCUAUAUUCGUCGCGCAAAGUUUUGUGCGACCAAUAUGUUUCAUCACGCAAAAGUUUGCGCGACCAAUAUAUAUUUUUUGCGUGCAAAGUGAUACGGUUUUUAAAACCAAAAUAACUCCUCCACCAUUUUCUCAAUGUCUUUCUCUACUCUUACCUCUCCUCUCUCUUUCCCUCUCCCCAAAUCCCACCCUUUCUCUCACACUCACUCCUCUCACUUAAUCUCUCAUCUUUCUCUUCACUAUCUCUCACUCUCACUCACUCUCUCAUCUCUCUUUUCACUAUCUCUCACUCUCACUCACUCUCUCAUCUCUCUAUCACUAUCCUCUCUAAUUCUCUCACACUCACUUCUCCCUCUCAUUCUCACUCUCUCAAUCUUGCCAACAGGUAUAUUCUCUCCAAAUUUUAAAUUUUUUUCAUUAAUACGUGUUUUUGGAGUUAGUUUUGAGUUAGUUUGGGGUUGAGUAAAGGGGAGGGAUUGGAGUUUGGGUUGGAUUUGUGGUAUAACAAUUUUAGGGGAGAUUAUGCCUUCUUUUUUUUUUUUUUUUUUUGUUAUUUGACCAUAUUUGUUUUUUGUAGGGAAUCAUCGGGACUUUGACGGCUAAAGUUCAGAAACUCAUUUCGAUAUGGAUCUCUCUCAGAAUCAAAUUAGAGGAACAAUUGGAAAUUUGAGAUCGGAGUUUCCACCUAAGCUAAAUGUGAGUUGGAACCAAUUGGUGGGUCCAAUCCCUUCAACUCCAUUAGAAGCUACUUUUUUAGAUCUCUCCCAUAAUAAAUUUUCAGUGGCAGCAGCUCCUUUUUUGGGCACAACCAAGGAUAGUAAUUUAGCUUUUCUUGAUUUCUCAAGCAACCACAUAUUCGGAUAACUUCCGGAUUGCUGGAUCCAUUUUAAAAAAUUAGUCUUUCUUGAUUUGAGCAAUAACUCUUUAUCUGGAAAAAUUCCUACCACCAUGGGGUACUUGUUUAGCAUUGAGACACUAUGACUAAAGAACAAUGGAUUUGUGGGAGAGUUGCCUUCACAAUUCAAGAAUUGUAGAAACUUGACACUUAUUAAUCUUGCGGAAAAUAAAUUAUCAGGAUCAAUACCUGAAUGGUUUGGGGCAUGUCACCCGAAUUUGGCUAUCCUUAUCCUUCAAUCUAAUCACUUCUAUGGAAGCAUCCCACCACAAUUAUGUCAUCUUGAAAGUAUUCAACUUUUGGAUUUGUCCAUGAACAAUAUCUCUGGGACUAUACCGAAAUGUCUCAACAGUUUGACUACUUUGACUCAAAAAGGAAGUUCAAGUCAAACUAUCCAACAUUCCUUUAUGGGUCAUUAUGCACAAGUGCCUUUUUAUGAGGUUUAUGAUGAUGAAGCAUCUUUAAUAUGGAAAGGAUUGAGAGCUGAAUUUAACAGUACACUAGGACUUGUAAAGAGUAUUGAUCUCUCAAGCAAUAAGUUGAUUGGGGAGAUUCCUAGUGAAAUCACUCAUCUUGUUGGUUUGAUUUCUUUAAACCUGUUGAGAAACCAAUUAAUAGGUCAAAUACCUUCAAGGAUUGGAAAUUUAUAGGAGUUAGAGUCUCUUGAAUUAUCAAGAAACCAGAUAAAUGGCAGAAUUCCAACAAGUCUUUCUCGAAUAGCUAGUCUUAGUAAGUUGGACUUGUCAAAAAACAACUUGUUUGGAAAAAUUCCAAUAGGCACUACUCCAAAGCUUUGACUAUGCUUAUGGUGGAAAUCCUUUGCUUUGUGGGGCACUACUCCGAAGGACAUGCUCUGAGGAGGAAAAGGUCCAGGACAACCUGUGUUGGUGAACCAAGACGGCCAGCGAUCGGUCGCUUUUCCCGAAGCCUUUGUCCUUCAGGUGAGCCAUUUAUUUCCAACAUAGGCAAAUACAAAUACCAGAGAAAACACAGUUAGAAGACGACCCAACGAACCGUUGGUGGCAUCGUCAAAUUCCUCACUAGUUCCAAACUAAUGAUGGGGUGGACAAGGUAACCCAUCCUUAUUAAGAAUGGGACCUGAAGACAGUAGCCAAUUUUGAACGGGUUAGAGGGACUUUAAUGAUGAUUUCAAAUACCUCUUUAC